This 492-nucleotide ribosomal RNA is filed under the name uncultured bacterium. Its description in RNAcentral is "partial 16S ribosomal RNA". It matches the Rfam family "Bacterial small subunit ribosomal RNA", at positions 29 to 507 of the family's 1533-position model. The record is from RNAcentral.
AGUGAACGCUGGCGGCAGGCCUAACACAUGCAAGUCGAACGGCAGCACAGUAAGAGCUUGCUCUUACGGGUGGCGAGUGGCGGACGGGUGAGGAGUACAUCGGAAUCUACUUUUUCGUGGGGGAUAACGUAGGGAAACUUACGCUAAUACCGCAUACGACCUACGGGUGAAAGCAGGGGAUCUUCGGACCUUGCGCGAUUGAAUGAGCCGAUGUCGGAUUAGCUAGUUGGCGGGGUAAAGGCCCACCAAGGCGACGAUCCGUAGCUGGUCUGAGAGGAUGAUCAGCCACACUGGAACUGAGACACGGUCCAGACUCCUACGGGAGGCAGCAGUGGGGAAUAUUGGACAAUGGGCGCAAGCCUGAUCCAGCCAUACCGCGUGGGUGAAGAAGGCCUUCGGGUUGUAAAGCCCUUUUGUUGGGAAAGAAAAGCAGCAGGUUAAUACCCCGCUGUUCUGACGGUACCCAAAGAAUAAGCACCGGCUAACUUCGUG